GUGGGGUUUGGGGUGUGGGGUUUUACCGAUUUUGAGGUAGUCAGUUACCUAAUUUUCAGGGAAAAAGUCCAGGGAUUUUACCCCCGAUCCCUCC
RNAcentral lists this transfer RNA (94 nucleotides) under Microcystis aeruginosa Sj. Its description in RNAcentral is "tRNA-Leu". Lineage: Bacteria; Bacillati; Cyanobacteriota; Cyanophyceae; Chroococcales; Microcystaceae. The record is from RNAcentral.